UGAGUAACACGUAUGCAACCUGCCUGCCACAGCCGGAUAAUCGGGAGAAAUUCCGUCUAAUACGGCAUAAUGCAUCGACGGGACAUCCUGUUGGUGCCAAAGGUUAAUUCCGGUGGCGGAUGGGCAUGCGUCGCAUUAGUUAGUUGGCGGUGUAACGGACCACCAAGACGACGAUGCGUAGGGGUUCUGGGAGGAAGGUCCCCCACACUGGUACUGAGACACGGACCAGACUCCUACGGGAGGCAGCAG
Molecule: ribosomal RNA, 249 nt
Filed under: uncultured bacterium
Lineage: Bacteria
Description: partial 16S ribosomal RNA
Rfam family: Bacterial small subunit ribosomal RNA
Source: RNAcentral